Molecule: long non-coding RNA, 801 nt
Filed under: Nicotiana tabacum (common tobacco)
Lineage: Eukaryota; Viridiplantae; Streptophyta; Magnoliopsida; Solanales; Solanaceae
Description: long non-coding RNA (NTAB_LNC002395)
Source: RNAcentral
GUCACUGUAAUUAUACUUGUUCUCCGAGAAAUCUUUGUUGGCAGCCCCUUCCAACAAUCAACGGCUUACAGAGUUCACAUCAAGCCUUUUAAUUACAAUCCUUAAUGAAAUCAACAAGGAAUAAGUAAUUUUACUAUAAUUACAGCAUUUAUAACAAUGUCCAAACAUAAACAGAAGAUGCUCAGCUCUUAAUCAAGUCUGCCAAUCCCACAGUUCAUUCAAUCCGACUUUUGGCUUCAAAUAUAACAGCCUGACCAAUUAAUGACUAAGUCUGUAAGUCACAACUAUACAAGACAAGAACAAAACUCUUCUCAUCACCCAUUACUACACAGCUUUUUAUCAAACAUAAGGAUCACAAUUUCAUUUUAAUUAAAACUCAUGCUUAACAAUCAGGAUAUGCAAAUCAGCAAACAAAAAAACAUUAAACUUAGCAUGUAAGAACAUGAUUCACGUUUCACAUACUGUCAGUCCAAAAUGAACACGUUGUCAUUUGAUUCGAAUGAUGAAUACAUAAUCAGAAGAGUGAUUAAUACCUGGAAAGCAGUAGUAAGACUUUAAAAUAGCCAAAUAAAGGCCAGAAAUAACAUCAAAUUGGGGUUCAGCUAUUAAUUGAAGGAGGAACAGCAACAAACAGCAGAAAAUCCAAGCUGAAUCCACUUCGAAACCCAGAAAUGCAAGAGAAAACUACAGCUCUCUAAAUAGCUACAGCUUAUGAAUUGUUUUCAGUAUUUCCAUACCUAAGUUUUUUUUUGAAUUUUUUCGUUUUGAAUUUCAGGCUGCUAUUGUGUGUGUGUGUGUGUG